AUCAGAUUCUGAGAGAGAGAGAGAGAGAGAGAGAGAGAGAGAGAGAGAGAGAGUGUGAAGGUGUUCAAUCAACCAUGCAUUCUGUCCUUCCCAGUCCUCUCUCUUUCUCUCUCUGGCUCUUGGCUCUGCUGCCUUC
RNAcentral lists this microRNA precursor (136 nucleotides) under Prunus dulcis (almond). RNAcentral describes it as "sRNA ncRNA". Lineage: Eukaryota; Viridiplantae; Streptophyta; Magnoliopsida; Rosales; Rosaceae. The record is from RNAcentral.